Molecule: ribosomal RNA, 1962 nt
Filed under: human gut metagenome
Description: bacterial LSU rRNA
Rfam family: Bacterial large subunit ribosomal RNA
Source: RNAcentral
UUAAGCGACUAAGCGUACACGGUGGAUGCCCUGGCAGUCAGAGGCGAUGAAGGACGUGCUAAUCUGCGAUAAGCGUCGGUAAGGUGAUAUGAACCGUUAUAACCGGCGAUUUCCGAAUGGGGAAACCCAGUGUGUUUCGACACACUAUCAUUAACUGAAUCCAUAGGUUAAUGAGGCGAACCGGGGGAACUGAAACAUCUAAGUACCCCGAGGAAAAGAAAUCAACCGAGAUUCCCCCAGUAGCGGCGAGCGAACGGGGAGCAGCCCAGAGUCUGAAUCAGCUUGUGUGUUAGUGGAACGGUCUGGAAAGUCCGACGGUACAGGGUGAUAGUCCCGUACACCAAAAUGCACAGGUUGUGAACUCGAAGAGUAGGGCGGGACACGUGGUAUCCUGUCUGAAUAUGGGGGGACCAUCCUCCAAGGCUAAAUACUCCUGACUGACCGAUAGUGAACCAGUACCGUGAGGGAAAGGCGAAAAGAACCCCGGCGAGGGGAGUGAAAAAGAACCUGAAACCGUGUACGUACAAGCAGUGGGAGCACCUUCGGGUGUGACUGCGUACCUUUUGUAUAAUGGGUCAGCGACUUAUAUUCUGUAGCAAGGUUAACCGUAUAGGGGAGCCGAAGGGAAACCGAGUCUUAACUGGGCGUUAAGUUGCAGGGUAUAGACCCGAAACCCGGUGAUCUAGCCAUGGGCAGGUUGAAGGUUGGGUAACACUAACUGGAGGACCGAACCGACUAAUGUUGAAAAAUUAGCGGAUGACUUGUGGCUGGGGGUGAAAGGCCAAUCAAACCGGGAGAUAGCUGGUUCUCCCCGAAAGCUAUUUAGGUAGCGCCUCGUGAACUCAUCUUCGGGGGUAGAGCACUGUUUCGGCUAGGGGGCCAUCCCGGCUUACCAACCCGAUGCAAACUACGAAUACCGAAGAAUGUUAUCACGGGAGACACACGGCGGGUGCUAACGUCCGUCGUGAAGAGGGAAACAACCCAGACCGCCAGCUAAGGUCCCAAAGUCAUGGUUAAGUGGGAAACGAUGUGGGAAGGCACAGACAGCCAGGAUGUUGGCUUAGAAGCAGCCAUCAUUUAAAGAAAGCGUAAUAGCUCACUGGUCGAGUCGGCCUGCGCGGAAGAUGUAACGGGGCUAAACCAUGCACCGAAGCUGCGGCAGCGACGCUUAUGCGUUGUUGGGUAGGGGAGCGUUCUGUAAGCCUGUGAAGGUGUGCUGUGAGGCAUGCUGGAGGUAUCAGAAGUGCGAAUGCUGACAUAAGUAACGAUAAAGCGGGUGAAAAGCCCGCUCGCCGGAAGACCAAGGGUUCCUGUCCAACGUUAAUCGGGGCAGGGUGAGUCGACCCCUAAGGCGAGGCCGAAAGGCGUAGUCGAUGGGAAACAGGUUAAUAUUCCUGUACUUGGUGUUACUGCGAAGGGGGGACGGAGAAGGCUAUGUUGGCCGGGCGACGGUUGUCCCGGUUUAAGCGUGUAGGCUGGUUUUCCAGGCAAAUCCGGAAAAUCAAGGCUGAGGCGUGAUGACGAGGCACUACGGUGCUGAAGCAACAAAUGCCCUGCUUCCAGGAAAAGCCUCUAAGCAUCAGGUAACAUCAAAUCGUACCCCAAACCGACACAGGUGGUCAGGUAGAGAAUACCAAGGCGCUUGAGAGAACUCGGGUGAAGGAACUAGGCAAAAUGGUGCCGUAACUUCGGGAGAAGGCACGCUGAUAUGUAGGUGAAGCGACUUGCUCGUGGAGCUGAAAUCAGUCGAAGAUACCAGCUGGCUGCAACUGUUUAUUAAAAACACAGCACUGUGCAAACACGAAAGUGGACGUAUACGGUGUGACGCCUGCCCGGUGCCGGAAGGUUAAUUGAUGGGGUUAUCCGUAAGGAGAAGCUCUUGAUCGAAGCCCCGGUAAACGGCGGCCGUAACUAUAACGGUCCUAAGGUAGCGAAAUUCCUUGUCGGGUAAGUUCCGACCUG